RNAcentral lists this unclassified non-coding RNA (328 nucleotides) under uncultured Minimedusa. Its description in RNAcentral is "sequence contains ITS2". Lineage: Eukaryota; Fungi; Basidiomycota; Agaricomycetes; Cantharellales. The record is from RNAcentral.
AACGCACCUUGCACUCCUUGGUAUUCCGAGGAGUACGCCUGUUCGAGUGUUAUGAAGCUCUCAAAACGCAAUUGGCUUAAAACCUGAUUGUUGUUUUGGAUUUGAACUUUGCCGUGUUAUAACGGCUGGUUUUAAAAGUAUUAGCUGGUACUAGAACGAAUUGGUUCUACUCAACGUGAUAAUUAUCUGAUCGUUGAGGACAUUCCUUUCACGAGGAAUGGCCAUAGUAAAUUAAAUGGACUGCUUCUAAUCUGGCUUUAAUUCUUUAUUGGAUUAACCACUUUUCAAAUCUGACCUCGAAUCAGGUGGGACUACCCGCUGAACUUAA